ACUCCUACGGGAGGCAGCAGUGGGAAUAUUGCACAAUGGGGAAGCCAUCGAUGCAGCCAUGCCGCGCUGUGUGAAGAAGGCCAAUUCGGGCUUGGUAAAGACACUUUCAGUAGGGAGGAAGGUAGUGUAGUUAACACCUGCAUUAUUUGACGUUACCUACAGAAGAAGCACCGGCUAACUCCGUGCCAGCAGCCGCGGUAAUACGGAGGGUGCGAGCGUUAAUCGGAAUUACUGGGCGUAAAGCGCAUGCAGGCGGCCUGUUAAGUCAGAUGUGAAAGCCCGGGCUUAA
RNAcentral lists this ribosomal RNA (289 nucleotides) under uncultured bacterium. RNAcentral describes it as "partial 16S ribosomal RNA". It matches the Rfam family "Bacterial small subunit ribosomal RNA", at positions 335 to 612 of the family's 1533-position model. The record is from RNAcentral.